This 521-nucleotide ribosomal RNA is filed under the name uncultured bacterium. RNAcentral's name for it is "bacterial SSU rRNA". It matches the Rfam family "Bacterial small subunit ribosomal RNA", at positions 373 to 901 of the family's 1533-position model. The record is from RNAcentral.
GGGCGAAAGCCUGACGCAGCAACGCCGCGUGGGGGAUGACGGCCUUCGGGUUGUAAACCUCUUUCGACAGGGACGAAGCUUUCGGGUGACGGUACCUGUAGAAGAAGUACCGGCUAACUACGUGCCAGCAGCCGCGGUAAUACGUAGGGUGCGAGCGUUGUCCGGAUUUAUUGGGCGUAAAGAGCUCGUAGGCGGUUUGUCACGUCGGCCGUGAAAACCUGCAGCUUAACUGUGGGCGUGCGGUCGAUACGGGCAGACUUGAGUUCGGCAGGGGAGACUGGAAUUCCUGGUGUAGCGGUGAAAUGCGCAGAUAUCAGGAGGAACACCGGUGGCGAAGGCGGGUCUCUGGGCCGAUACUGACGCUGAGGAGCGAAAGCAUGGGGAGCGAACAGGAUUAGAUACCCUGGUAGUCCAUGCCGUAAACGUUGGGCGCUAGGUGUGGGGAUGGGUUCCACCGUUUCCGUGCCGUAGCUAACGCAUUAAGCGCCCCGCCUGGGGAGUACGGCCGCAAGGCUAAAACU